GGAGAGGUGUCCGAGCUGGCUGAAGGAGUUAGUCUCGAAAACUAAUAUACGGGAAACCGUAUCGAGGGUUCAAAUCCCUCCCUCUCCU
Molecule: transfer RNA, 88 nt
Filed under: Endomicrobiia bacterium
Lineage: Bacteria; Pseudomonadati; Elusimicrobiota; Endomicrobiia
Description: tRNA-Ser
Rfam family: tRNA
About the family: Transfer RNA (tRNA) molecules are approximately 80 nucleotides in length.
Source: RNAcentral